AACGAACGCUGGCGGCAUGCCUAACACAUGCAAGUCGAACGAAGUCUUCGGACUUAGUGGCGCACGGGUGCGUAACGCGUGGGAAUCUGCCCUUGGGUGCGGGAAUAACUUCUCGAAAGGGAUGCUAAUACCGCAUAAUGUCGUAAGACCAAAGAUUUAUCGCCCAAGGAUGAGCCCCGCGUAAGAUUAGCUAGUUGGUGGGGUAAAAGCCUACCAAGGCGACGAUCUUUAGCUGGUCUGAGAGGAUGAUCAGCCACACUGGGACUGAGACACGGCCCCAGACUCCUACGGGAGGGCAACAGUGGGGAAUAUUGGACAAUGGGCGAAAGCCUGAUCCAGCAAUGCCGCGUGAGUGAUGAAGGCCCUAGGGUUGUAAAGCUCUUUUACCAGGGAUGAUAAUGACAGUACCUGGAGAAUAAGACUCCGGCUAACUCCGUAGCCAGCAGCCGCGGUAA
RNAcentral lists this ribosomal RNA (455 nucleotides) under uncultured bacterium. RNAcentral's name for it is "bacterial SSU rRNA". It matches the Rfam family "Bacterial small subunit ribosomal RNA", at positions 29 to 523 of the family's 1533-position model. The record is from RNAcentral.